CUGUCAUAAUAGCACUUACCUCCUAGGGUAUUGUGAGGAUCAAAUGAGACAAUAUGUGUAAAAGUGCUUAGCAUAAUAGUGCCUGGCACUUAAUAAAUGCUUGUCUCCUUCCUCUCAUCCUCUUCUCUAUCUCACUCUCUCUCCCCUUUCUGACUUUUCUUUCUCAGCCCAUUUUUCUCUCACUUUUUCUUCCCCCUUCCAGAGUCUGGAUAACCACUUGUCAGGAGCGCUAAGGAGAGGAUUCCUGGGGAGAAGGACAGAAUUGGUGGAUGUGGUUGCUGUUACCAUCAGUGAUGUUUGAAAUAUCAGAAAAUGGGAGAGGUGUCAGAAUAUGAGAAAGAAAAAUGUCCCUUUAAAAAAAAAGGAAGAGGAAGAUUCUUCAACUACAUGCCAGGGUUUCUAGAACCAAGGGCAAAAGAUACCCAACUCUUUUAGGGACCACAGGAUCAAGGGAAGAAUGUUUUAGUGUGAAAUUCUGAAGGUCUUGAAGACCAAGAAUAAAAUCACCCAAAAGACAAUGGGGUUUGUUUCC
Molecule: long non-coding RNA, 532 nt
Filed under: Monodelphis domestica (gray short-tailed opossum)
Lineage: Eukaryota; Metazoa; Chordata; Mammalia; Didelphimorphia; Didelphidae
Description: lncRNA (ENSMODG00000039755.1)
Source: RNAcentral